UCAGAAUCCGCUGACACAGUGAAGAGCCGUCUGGGCAUCAAGUUCUUCAGCGGGAAUAUUUAGCUGGACCCGGUGAUCCUGCAUGAAAAGACGAAGAUAUCCAUGCAAAUUAAUCAAGAAAAUAAAAUAGAAACCCUGAUGGAUACCAACCUAACCGAAACCAAAAUAACACUGUAUUGGCUUCCAUUGGUUGACUGGGGUCUAUGAAUACGCUUGCUGGGUUGGCAGAUUUCCAAAUUUCCAAAGGGAAAGUGUGGAACACAAAAGUGGUGUAAAUGGAGCUGUGCAAAAAUCUGCCGUCUUCUUACGUGUCACGGCAAUGAUAAUGAAAAUUUAAGCGUAUGCAGAGUGUUUUGCAAAUAAUGUUAAACACUGGAAAUUAUACUCUGCAUUUUAAUAAAGCGGUUGGGAC
Molecule: long non-coding RNA, 412 nt
Organism: Hyla sarda
Lineage: Eukaryota; Metazoa; Chordata; Amphibia; Anura; Hylidae
Exons: 3
Source: RefSeq, a predicted model, not a curated record